CGGACUUCGGGUCUCGGUGGCAGAGUGGCGAACGGGUGAGUAAUGUAUCGGAACGUGCCCAGUAGCGGGGGAUAACUACGCGAAAGCGUAGCUAAUACCGCAUACGCCCUACGGGGGAAAGCAGGGGAUCGCAAGACCUUGCACUAUUGGAGCGGCCGAUAUCGGAUUAGCUAGUUGGUGGGGUAACGGCUCACCAAGGCGACGAUCCGUAGCUGGUUUGAGAGGACGACCAGCCACACUGGGACUGAGACACGGCCCAGACUCCUACGGGAGGCAGCAGUGGGGAAUUUUGGACAAUGGGGGAAACCCUGAUCCAGCCAUCCCGCGUGUGCGAUGAAGGCCUUCGGGUUGUAAAGCACUUUUGGCAGGAAAGAAACGUCGCGGGUUAAUACCCCGCGAAACUGACGGUACCUGCAGAAUAAGCACCGGCUAACUACGUGCCAGCAGCCGCGGUAAUACGUAGGGUGCAAGCGUUAAUCGGAAUUACUGGGCGUAAAGCGUGCGCAGGCGGUUCGGAAAGAAGAUGUGAAAUCCCAGAGCUUACUUUGGAACUGCAUUUUUAACUACCGGGCUAGAGUGUGUCAGAGGGAGUGGAAUUC
This 599-nucleotide ribosomal RNA is filed under the name Achromobacter sp. NTRP06. RNAcentral's name for it is "bacterial SSU rRNA". It matches the Rfam family "Bacterial small subunit ribosomal RNA", at positions 68 to 669 of the family's 1533-position model. Lineage: Bacteria; Pseudomonadati; Pseudomonadota; Betaproteobacteria; Burkholderiales; Alcaligenaceae. The record is from RNAcentral.